UUCUGUGCAACUUCCCAUCUUCUUUAAGUGCAGAGGUGCAAGUCUUGGAGUUACGCAGCUGCAAUUGAGUUUUCAUCUGCUUGACGACCCUGAGGCUUCACAAAGAUGUGUGUAGGUAUGAAUCGUCUGAGCAGCUGAUUAGUGAAGUUUGGGAAUCGCAGCAAGUUAAUAUGAAGAGAUGGUAACUGUUGAUAUCCAGCCAUCAGAGGAUAGAAGUUGUAUAAUACUUCCUGCUGCGUGCCAGGAAGGAUUCUUAACCGGAUCUGCUUAAGGCCAGAGAACAUGAAUGCGUCGCUGGGUUCCAUUGACACCUCUACAUCCUGGACUAAAUUGGUCUUAUUUUGCAGGUGAUAUCUGACAGGGAGGGAUUCUCGAACUCGACCAAAUGAUGGCAGAUCUGCUUUAACAUGGAGGGGAAUGCUCUCUACAAUCACAUGUGGCAGAGUGAUGACUGUACUAACAACAGGUACACUUUCCACAGGUGAACUUCUCUUCCAGGAAAUGAUAUAACAUCCAGUUGCCACUCCACCACUAUUAGUAACUGGAGGACAUCGCAGGCAAAAGCACU
This 568-nucleotide long non-coding RNA is filed under the name Gallus gallus (chicken). The record is from RNAcentral. Lineage: Eukaryota; Metazoa; Chordata; Aves; Galliformes; Phasianidae.